UACGUAGGGUGCAAGCGUUGCCCGGACUUAUUGGGCGUAAAGGGCGCGUAGGCGGCUCGGCACGUCCGUUGUGAAAUCGCCCGGCUCAACUGAGGAAGUGCAUCCGAAACUGGCAGGCUAGAGUACCAAAGAGGGUCGCGGAAUUCCCGGUGUAGAGGUGAAAUUCGUAGAUAUCGGGAGGAACACCGGUGGCGAAGGCGGCGACCUGGGUGGAUACUGACGCUGAGGUGCGAAAGCGUGGGGAGCAAACAGG
RNAcentral lists this ribosomal RNA (253 nucleotides) under uncultured bacterium. Its description in RNAcentral is "partial 16S ribosomal RNA". It matches the Rfam family "Bacterial small subunit ribosomal RNA", at positions 524 to 776 of the family's 1533-position model. The record is from RNAcentral.